RNAcentral lists this ribosomal RNA (511 nucleotides) under uncultured bacterium. Its description in RNAcentral is "partial 16S ribosomal RNA". It matches the Rfam family "Bacterial small subunit ribosomal RNA", at positions 28 to 507 of the family's 1533-position model. The record is from RNAcentral.
GACAAACGCUGGCGGCAUGCCUAACACAUGCAAGUCGAACGGACAGAACAGGGAAGCUUUUCGGAGUGGAACUGGAAAGUUAGUGGCGGAUGGGUGAGUAACGCGUGGACAACCUACCUUGUAAAGGGGAAUAACCUCGAGAAAUCGAAUCUAAUACCCCAUAAUAACCUUGCUUCGCAUGAAGUAAGGAGGAAAGGCGGCCUUAGCGCUGUCGAUACAAGAUGGGUCCGCGUCUGAUUAGCUAGUUGGUGAGGUAAAGGCUCACCAAGGCGACGAUCAGUAGCCGGCCUGAGAGGGUGAACGGCCACAUUGGGACUGAGACACGGCCCAAACUCCUACGGGAGGCAGCAGUGGGGAAUCUCCCGCAAUGGGCGAAAGCCUGACGGAGCAAUGCCGCGUGAGUGAAGAAGGCCUUCGGGUUGUAAAACUCUGUCCUUAUCGAAGAGAGAGUGUUGUAGUAACUGACAAUACUAGGACGGUAGAUGAGGAGGAAGCCCCGGCUAACUAUGUG